GCCCCGAAUCGGAUGAACUAAGCCAUCCGAGUCAUUGUAGUAUACAAGGCAGACGGCUCAGUAACGCGUAGUCAAUCUAACCUAUGGACGGGAAUAACCUCGGGAAACUGAGUAUAAUGCCCGAUAGAACAUUAUGCCUGGAAUGGUUUAUGUUCCAAAUGAUUUAUCGCCGUAGGAUGGGACUGCGGCCUAUCAGUUUGUUGGUGAGGUAAUGGCCCACCAAGACUAUUACAGGUACGGGCUCUGAGAGGAGUAGCCCGGAGAUGGGUACUGAGACACGGACCCAGGCCCUAUGGGGCGCAGCAGGCGAGAAAACUUUGCAAUGUGCGAAAGCACGACAAGGUUAAUCCGAGUGGUUUCUGCUAAAGGAACCUUUUGUCGGUCCUAGAAACACCGAUGAAUAAGGGGUGGGCAAGUUCUGGUGUCAGCCGCCGCGGUAAAACCAGCACCUCAAGUGGUCAGGAUGAUUAUUGGGCCUAAAGCAUCCGUAGCCGGCUCUGUUAGUUUUCGGUUAAAUCUGUACGCUCAACGUACAGGCUGCCGGGAAUACUGCAGAGCUAGGGAGUGGGAGAGGUAGAA
This 579-nucleotide ribosomal RNA is filed under the name uncultured marine archaeon. RNAcentral's name for it is "bacterial SSU rRNA". It matches the Rfam family "Archaeal small subunit ribosomal RNA", at positions 26 to 613 of the family's 1478-position model. The record is from RNAcentral.